GGCGGACGGGUGAGUAAUGUCUGGGAAACUGCCCGAUGGAGGGGGGUAACUACUGGAAACGGUAGCUAAUACCGCAUAACGUCGCAAGACCAAAGAGGGGGACCUUCGGGCCUCUUGCCAUCGGAUGUGCCCAGAUGGGAUUAGCUAGUAGGUGGGGUAACGGCUCACCUAGGCGACGAUCCCUAGCUGGUCUGAGAGGAUGACCAGCCACACUGGAACUGAGACACGGUCCAG
RNAcentral lists this ribosomal RNA (234 nucleotides) under uncultured bacterium. RNAcentral's name for it is "partial 16S ribosomal RNA". It matches the Rfam family "Bacterial small subunit ribosomal RNA", at positions 97 to 334 of the family's 1533-position model. The record is from RNAcentral.